This 484-nucleotide ribosomal RNA is filed under the name uncultured bacterium. RNAcentral describes it as "bacterial SSU rRNA". It matches the Rfam family "Bacterial small subunit ribosomal RNA", at positions 29 to 507 of the family's 1533-position model. The record is from RNAcentral.
AACGAACGCUGGCGGCGUGCUUAACACAUGCAAGUCGCACGAGAAAGUCCUUCGGGAUGAGUAGAGUGGCGCACGGGUGAGUAAUACAUAGGAACGUACCUUUCGGUGGGGAAUAACCACGGGAGACUGUGGCUAAUACCGCAUGACGUCGCAAGACCAAAGCUGGCCUCUACUUGUAAGCUAGCGCCGAUAGAUCGGCCUAUGUCCCAUUAGCUAGUUGGUAGGGUAAUGGCCUACCAAGGCGACGAUGGGUAGCUGGUCUGAGAGGAUGAUCAGCCACACUGGGACUGAGACACGGCCCAGACUCCUACGGGAGGCAGCAGUGGGGAAUUUUGCACAAUGGGCGCAAGCCUGAUGCAGCAACGCCGCGUGAGUGAAGAAGGCCCUUGGGUCGUAAAGCUCUUUCGGCUGGGAAGAAGGGCUUCACGGUGAAUAAUCGUGGAGUCUGACGGUACCAGAAGAAGAAGCACCUGCUAACUACGUG